Molecule: long non-coding RNA, 695 nt
Organism: Leptopilina heterotoma
Lineage: Eukaryota; Metazoa; Arthropoda; Insecta; Hymenoptera; Figitidae
Exons: 2
Source: RefSeq, a predicted model, not a curated record
ACCGUACUAUAUCGUCAAUUCCUAAGAAAUAAUGGCUAUUCGUGUGAAGUAUAUCAUGCAAGAUUGCCGACACAAGAUAAGAAGACAAUUUUCCUUGCUUGGAAGGAAAAUCGUAUUCAAGUUUUGUGCGCGACAAUAGCAUUAGGUAUGGGUAUUGAUAAACCAAACACUCGAUUUGUUAUCAAUACGACAAUUUCCAAUUCUUUGGCAAAUUAUUGUCAAGAAUCGGGAAGAGUUGGUCGCGAUAACAUUCCGAGUGAUUGCAUUUUAUUUUAUCACUACUAGGAUGUCUUCACAAAAAUGAAAUUAUUUAUUAAGGAUCAUACAACAACAACAACAACAGCCAAUGAUUAUUGAGGAGGAUGAUAAUCAUAUUGGAAAUGAGGAGUUGCCCAUAAAUAUUUUUCAAUUUUCAAUCUUUAAUUUUCCAUUCCUUUUCUAAUUCGUUUUUCCAUUUUUUUUUCGAAUAAUUAUGCCUCCUAAAAAAAUUAAAUCUUUAAUAACAACUGUUAAUAAUGAGGAAUAUUUAGAAUUUUUAAAAUUAUUCAAAAGUGAGGAGAAGAAGAAGGAAAUAAAAUUAAGAGACGAAGCAGAGAAGAUGGAAAUGAGAAAAAAAUUAAAAAAGAGGAUGUCAAGAAGGAUGAUAAUGAUAUUUAUUGUUUUGAUGAAAUUGAAAAUGAAAUAAAUAUGUCAGA